AUGGCUCGAGAUUUGCUUGCUAGGUGUUUUUCCCUCCCACAAUAGAUGAGUUUCUUCCACAAUAGGUGGAUAUCUUCCACAUUAGGUGGAUCUACUACCCAAAUAAGUGGGUUUCCUUUUGUUUAUGGUCUGGUUUCCCUCUUUUACGACCACCACAUCCUCCGCCCUCACUGUCGUCGCCUCCACCUUGGUCGUUCUCACCGCAUCCAUCGAUCUCAGUGAGUUGGGUUGCAGAUCUAGUGUUGAGACGGUGCGUCCUGUGUCUCGCCGCCGCUGCUGCUGUGUACGCCCCUGUACCCGGGCCGGAGGCCUUCUCACUGGUCUCAGGCAAGUCCUGGGUUGAAAGGGGGAGGGCUCUAGUUGUGCUGAUUUGUUGGUAGCCUCACCGCGCCACCGAGCCACCGCCGUCGCCGUACCUCAGCCGCGAUCUGCUCUGCUCCGACCACCACCAUCCUUUUCCCUCUGUUCUGGUUGUUUCUGGGUUGAUCUGCAGGUGCCCCUCUAUCCUUGGUGCCAGUGCACCGGCUUGACUCCUCUUGGUGCCGUUGAAGCCGUUUGUGUUCUUCCUUGAAGGCUAAAGUGUUUGCAUCUCCGGCAGAGUCGGAUGGAUUGCAAGUGGAAGCAAUUGUUUUAAAAAGGAAUGAUUUACUACUGCUUGGACAGCCAAGCUUNNNN
Molecule: long non-coding RNA, 675 nt
Filed under: Lotus japonicus
Lineage: Eukaryota; Viridiplantae; Streptophyta; Magnoliopsida; Fabales; Fabaceae
Description: long non-coding RNA (LJAP_LNC002245)
Source: RNAcentral